AGUGAACGCUGGCGGUAGGCCUAACACAUGCAAGUCGAACGGCAGCACAGUAAGAGCUUGCUCUUACGGGUGGCGAGUGGCGGACGAGUGAGGAAUACAUCGGAAUCUACUUUUUCGUGGGGGAUAACGUAGGGAAACUUACGCUAAUACCGCAUACGACCUACGGGUGAAAGCAGGGGAUCUUCGGACCUUGCGCGACUGAAUGAGCCGAUGUCGGAUUAGCUAGUUGGCGGGGUAAAGGCCCACCAAGGCGACGAUCCGUAGCUGGUCUGAGAGGAUGAUCGGCCACACUGGAACUGAGACACGGUCCAGACUCCUACGGGAGGCAGCAGUAGGGAAUCUUGGACAAUGGGCGCAAGCCUGAUCCAGCCAUACCGCGUGAGUGAAGAAGGCCUUCGGGUUGUAAAGCCCUUUUGUUGGGAAAGAACAGCAGCAGGUUAAUCCCCCGCUGUUCUGACGGUACCCAAAGAAUAAGCACCGGCUAACUUCGUG
This 492-nucleotide ribosomal RNA is filed under the name uncultured bacterium. Its description in RNAcentral is "partial 16S ribosomal RNA". It matches the Rfam family "Bacterial small subunit ribosomal RNA", at positions 29 to 507 of the family's 1533-position model. The record is from RNAcentral.